CCCUUCUUCCCCUCAGAGCCUCUAAAAAUUAAAGAUCAUGGAAGGUUCCUCGCCCUAGAGCCCGCGACAGAGAAAUAACCCCACGGAUCACAGGUGGACACAUCUAUCCGACCCCAAGGGCCUAACGAGUCCGAGGACGGAUCCCACAUCACCCAGCAGGAGAUGAAGGCGGAGAAAAACAAUUGACCAAUCGCCAUCACUGAAUUGACCAAUCGCCAUCCUUGAAGCCCUGCUCUGUUCUUUGAUUGGCUUUAAUGGUGACGCCCCGUUCCGAAUUCCUUGCUCGGAUUGGUCUACUUCUUGCUUCUGACCUGGAUGGUGGCCAGAGGAGGACAAGAGACUUCCAGACAGAAUGGAGGGACGAUUUGGGUGACAUCUGAGACGCAGUCGCACACCAACAUGCAGCCGGGCUCCGGGGACGUGGCGGCGGCCUCUGUGGUCUCGGUGCUGCUGAUGGCGACUGCGAGGAGCGGGUGGCAGCGCCUCCCGAGCCCGGCGCUGCGGCGGAGGUAACGGUCGCGCUCUGGGGCGGGCGAUGUUUGGCCUGCCAGCGCCCAGAGAGGUGAGGAGGGGGCGGAGGACCAGAGGAAAGAAUCCGCGAGACCCGGGGUUCUGCUUUCAGUCCCACCCCGAAAGCUUCAGCUGGAGAAAUUUUCUGCUGGGAAGCUCAUCCUCAAAGAGAAAGCUGAGACCACUGCGUUCAGAAUUCAGAUGUGACAUAAGAUCCAAAUGGCAAUCCCGGCACUUGACUACUGUGUGGAAACAACUUGUCAUGCCUGCAUUGUGGAAACAGUGUUCAAAAUGA
RNAcentral lists this long non-coding RNA (805 nucleotides) under Mustela putorius furo (domestic ferret). RNAcentral's name for it is "lncRNA (ENSMPUG00000024128.1)". Lineage: Eukaryota; Metazoa; Chordata; Mammalia; Carnivora; Mustelidae. The record is from RNAcentral.